GACGAACGCUGGCGGCGUGCCUAAUACAUGCAAGUAGAACGCUGAAGAGAGGAGCUUGCUCUUCUUGGAUGAGUUGCGAACGGGUGAGUAACGCGUAGGUAACCUGCCUUGUAGCGGGGGAUAACUAUUGGAAACGAUAGCUAAUACCGCAUAACAAUGGAUGACCCAUGUCAUUUAUUUGAAAGGGGCAAAUGCUCCACUACAAGAUGGACCUGCGUUGUAUUAGCUAGUAGGUGAGGUAACGGCUCACCUAGGCGACGAUACAUAGCCGACCUGAGAGGGUGAUCGGCCACACUGGGACUGUGACACGGCCCAGACGCCUACGGGAGGCAGCAGUAGGGAAUCUUCGGCAAUGGGGGCAACCCUGACCGAGCAACGCCGCGUGAGUGAAGAAGGUUUUCGGAUCGUAAAGCUCUGUUGUAAGUCAAGAACGAGUGUGAGAGUGGAAAGUUCACACUGUGACGGUAGCUUACCAGAAAGGGACGGCUAACUACGUG
RNAcentral lists this ribosomal RNA (497 nucleotides) under uncultured bacterium. Its description in RNAcentral is "partial 16S ribosomal RNA". It matches the Rfam family "Bacterial small subunit ribosomal RNA", at positions 28 to 507 of the family's 1533-position model. The record is from RNAcentral.